CAAUCGAUUCAAUCGACUUUAGCCAAUCCCCUCAAUCUUCCAAAAUUUAAGGAAAAUUUGCACUUGUUCAUCCCGGACAUUCUUCCGUGGGUAAUCAUGGAGAAGAACUUACCCAUGACUGAUCAGCUGCAUUUUGAAUCAGUAUGUACCUGAAAGGUUUUCGUCAAAAUGAUGUAAUUUCGGCGUGCGGACUAAUAAAUGGACUGAGAAAAUUGAAAGAUAAUGUUAUAUCUUCUAUCAUUUACACGAUUUGGGGCAGCUGCUCAUCUUCAACUAUCGAGAGGGGUGCAGAUAACGGCAAGAUCGGCGAAUUUUUCUAUAUAUCAACUCUGAUUGCAGCAAA
Drosophila persimilis is the source of this 343-nucleotide long non-coding RNA. RefSeq lists it as uncharacterized. The record is from RefSeq and is a predicted model, not a curated record. The transcript is spliced from 3 exons. NCBI's taxonomy places the organism in Eukaryota, Metazoa, Arthropoda, Insecta, Diptera, Drosophilidae.